AGAUAAACCAAAGUGGUACAUGGCUCAUAACUCAAACAUUUCAUUUUCGGCAGCUGUUAAUUUUCUUGCCCAGGCUAAUUUGGAUUAUUCAAUCAUUUUCUUUUCUUUAAUGAAAAACUGCUUGUAGUUACUGGUGGGGACAAAGAGCUGCAAUUAUGGACCUUGGAAGAGACGGGGUUUCGCUGUGUUGGCCGGGCUGCUCUCCAGCUCCUAACCGCGAGUGACCUGCCAGCCUUGGCCUCCCGAGGUGCCGGGAUUGCAGACGGAGUCUGGUUCACUCAGUGCUCAAUGGUGCCCAGGCUGGAGUGCAGUGGCGUAAUCUCGGCUCGCUACAACCUCCACCUCCCAGCCGCCUGCCUUGGCCUCCCAAAGUGCCGAG
Molecule: long non-coding RNA, 379 nt
Filed under: Homo sapiens (human)
Lineage: Eukaryota; Metazoa; Chordata; Mammalia; Primates; Hominidae
Description: non-protein coding lnc-FOXA1-1:2
Source: RNAcentral